Molecule: non-coding RNA, 106 nt
Organism: Capsicum annuum
Lineage: Eukaryota; Viridiplantae; Streptophyta; Magnoliopsida; Solanales; Solanaceae
Source: Rfam
UGAUGGUGAUGAGGACAAUUUCUGAGCAUGCCUUUAAAUUUCUCCCAAGCUUGGAAGAGUUUUCUCUAUCUUAUUAUCUGAAACUCAAGAUCUCACUCAUCAAACA